AUUGAACGCUGGCGGCAGGCUUAACACAUGCAAGUCGAACGAUGACUAACUAGCUUGCUAGUUAUGAUUAGUGGCGGACGGGUGAGUAACAUUUAGGAAUCUGCCUAGUAGUGGGGGAUAGCUCGGGGAAACUCGAAUUAAUACCGCAUACGACCUACGGGUGAAAGGGGGCGCAAGCUCUUGCUAUUAGAUGAGCCUAAAUCAGAUUAGCUAGUUGGUGGGGUAAAGGCCUACCAAGGCGACGAUCUGUAACUGGUCUGAGAGGAUGAUCAGUCACACCGGAACUGAGACACGGUCCGGACUCCUACGGGAGGCAGCAGUGGGGAAUAUUGGACAAUGGGGGCAACCCUGAUCCAGCCAUGCCGCGUGUGUGAAGAAGGCCUUUUGGUUGUAAAGCACUUUAAGCAGGGAGGAGAGGCUAAUGGUUAAUACCCAUUAGAUUAGACGUUACCUGCAGAAUAAGCACCGGCUAACUCUGUGCCAGCAGCCGCGGUAAUACAGAGGGUGCGAGCGUUAAUCGGAAUUACUGGGCGUAAAGCGAGUGUAGGUGGCUCAUUAAGUCACAUGUGAAAUCCCCGGGCUUAACCUGGGAACUGCAUGUGAUACUGGUGGUGCUAGAAUAUGUGAGAGGGAAGUAGAAUUCCAGGUGUAGCGGUGAAAUGCGUAGAGAUCUGGAGGAAUACCGAUGGCGAAGGCAGCUUCCUGGCAUAAUAUUGACACUGAGAUUCGGAAGCGUGGGUAGCAAACAGGAUUAGAUACCCUGGUAGUCCACGCCGUAAACGAUGUCUACUAGCCGUUGGGGUCCUUGAGACUUUAGUGGCGCAGUUAACGCGAUAAGUAGACCGCCUGGGGAGUACGGCCGCAAGGUUAAAACUCAAAUGAAUUGACGGGGGCCCGCACAAGCGGUGGAGCAUGUGGUUUAAUUCGAUGCAACGCGAAGAACCUUACCUGGUCUUGACAUAGUGAGAAUCCUGCAGAGAUGCGGGAGUGCCUUCGGGAAUUCACAUACAGGUGCUGCAUGGCUGUCGUCAGCUCGUGUCGUGAGAUGUUGGGUUAAGUCCCGCAACGAGCGCAACCCUUUUCCUUAUUUGCCGGCGGGUUAAGCCGGGAACUUUAAGGAUACUGCCAGUGACAAACUGGAGGAAGGCGGGGACGACGUCAAGUCAUCAUGGCCCUUACGACCAGGGCUACACACGUGCUACAAUGGUAGGUACAGAGGGUUGCUACACAGCGAUGUGAUGCUAAUCUCAAAAAGCCUAUCGUAGUCCGGAUUGGAGUCUGCAACUCGACUCCAUGAAGUCGGAAUCGCUAGUAAUCGCAGAUCAGAAUGCUGCGGUGAAUACGUUCCCGGGCCU
RNAcentral lists this ribosomal RNA (1355 nucleotides) under uncultured bacterium. RNAcentral describes it as "bacterial SSU rRNA". It matches the Rfam family "Bacterial small subunit ribosomal RNA", at positions 28 to 1381 of the family's 1533-position model. The record is from RNAcentral.